RNAcentral lists this ribosomal RNA (232 nucleotides) under uncultured bacterium. RNAcentral's name for it is "partial 16S ribosomal RNA". It matches the Rfam family "Bacterial small subunit ribosomal RNA", at positions 1268 to 1500 of the family's 1533-position model. The record is from RNAcentral.
CGAAUCACAAAACUCGGUCUCAGUUCAGAUUGCAGGCUGCAACUCGCCUGCAUGAAGUUGGAAUUGCUAGUAAUCGCGAAUCAGAAUGUCGCGGUGAAUACGUUCCCGGGCCUUGUACACACCGCCCGUCACACCAUGAGAGUCGGGAACACCCGAAGUCCGUAGCCUAACCGCAAGGGGGGCGCGGCCGAAGGUGGGUUCGAUAAUUGGGGUGAAGUCGUAACAAGGUACC